UCCUGGUUAGCUCGGUUGGUAGAGCGUUCCACUCGAAAUGGAAAUGUCCCUGGUUCGAUACCAGUACCAGGCG
Molecule: non-coding RNA, 73 nt
Organism: Ixodes scapularis (black-legged tick)
Lineage: Eukaryota; Metazoa; Arthropoda; Arachnida; Ixodida; Ixodidae
Source: the annotation of a RefSeq genome assembly